ACGUACACUCCUGCGGGAGGCAGCAGUGGGGAAUAUUGCACAAUGGGCGCAAGCCUGAUGCAGCCAUGCCGCGUGUAUGAAGAAGGCCUUCGGGUUGUAAAGUACUUUCAGCGGGGAGGAAGGCGAUAAGGUUAAUAACCUUGUUGAUUGACGUUACCCGCAGAAGAAGCACCGGCUAACUCCGUGCCAGCAGCCGCGGUAAUACGGAGGGUGCAAGCGUUAAUCGGAAUUACUGGGCGUAAAGCGCACGCAGGCGGUCUGUCAAGUCGGAUGUGAAAUCCCCGGGCUCAACCUGGGAACUGCAUUCGAAACUGGCAGGCUAGAGUCUUGUAGAGGGGGGUAGAAUUCCAGGUGUAGCGGUGAAAUGCGUAGAGAUCUGGAGGAAUACCGGUGGCGAAGGCGGCCCCCUGGACAAAGACUGACGCUCAGGUGCGAAAGCGUGGGGAGCAAACAGGAUUAGAUACCCUUGUAGUCC
RNAcentral lists this ribosomal RNA (475 nucleotides) under uncultured organism. RNAcentral describes it as "partial 16S ribosomal RNA". It matches the Rfam family "Bacterial small subunit ribosomal RNA", at positions 329 to 796 of the family's 1533-position model. The record is from RNAcentral.